CAUUUGACAUUGACCCUUUAGCCAUGACCUUGUCUUGUGGGGACCUGGAAACUGCCUCUUUUCGGGAUGGUAGCUACACUCUGUUGGCCCGAUGCCGCUCUCAUUGACUUCAGUGGCAGGUCCCACCCCACAUUUACUUGAAUGAGAAAAAGGACCGGGCCCGGUGACCCUUCUAUGCACAGCCCACUUUGGCUCAUGUCCAUAGCAGUCGUCAAGUCACUUGACGGCUGCUAUGGACAUGAGCCUCUGUCCUUAACUAGUGUCCUGAUAUUACAGCAAGAGAGUGUGGCAGGAACGUUGCCUGAUGCUACUUCAGCGGAAGGCAGGAGACUCCAGCGUGGGGAGCCUGGCCACAGACACAUUUCCACAGCCCUGGGGUCCUACCCCUUGGCCCUGCAGCAGUGUCAAGGGAAAUCUCCUCUUUAGGCCUCACCAGCGGCCCUCUUGCAAAGCAAUCAGGGGGUGGUGCGGGUUGUUCUUAUGGGGCAUGAUUUUAACCUUGGAUCCCGCAGGAGAAACAAGAGGCUGAGUGUGCAAACUGCCGCUCAACGAUCAGCCCCGGGCUGCUGCUGCUGGGGCUGGGGCCUGCGCGGUGCGCAAAGGCGAAGGGGAGGGUGUGCGCCGACGCAGGCCUUCCUGCUCGCCUGGCGGCGGCACAGCAACUCCGCCGGGCCUCCUUAAAUCUCUGCCGUUACAAUGUGGGCGGGUAUUUCAACUCAAAAAGCGCUCAAAUUUUUUUUCUUUUCAAAAAAAGCUGAUGAGGUUAAAACAGGAGAAGGGGAAGGCGAGAGACAGAAACCGGCCGGGUGUCCGGGCGACAGAAGCCGCGAUUGUCCCGGCAGCGGGUUUGGCGGAUCCCGGCGAGGAGGAAAGUCGCUGCUGUCAUUGAGGCGGCGGCUGCUUUGCAGGGCUGGGACCGGGGACGGGGGCACAGCCGGUUCGCGGCUGCUGCUCGGCGCAGGGGAGCCGGACCUGCGCUUCCCAGCUCCGGGGGACAUCGCAGCCCAAGCAGCGCCCCGGAGAGCCGCUGCCUCCUCCCGCUCGCUGCGGAAAGCGAAAGAGGAACCCCCCGAUCCAAAGAGCCGGCGGAGCCCUGCGGCGCGGCGAGCCCUAGGCGGGAAGGGCUCGCCCCGCGGCUUGCAGCUGUAAUGCCGCCGUGUACCUCGGAGAUCGCCCCGGCCGGCUAGAUGGAGCAGCCGCCGCUGCUGGGCUUCUCCUCCUUUCCGUGAGCCCUGGCACCGGCAUGCAGCCGCCCGCGGACAGCCACAGGACCCGGUGCCCUUCUGAAUGCACCGAGCCACCAUUGCUGGGGGCGGCCGAACCUCCGCCUAGGGCGGCAGCCGCUGGGGGCCACGAACGCCUUCUCCUCCCAGGCUCUGCGAGGAAGAUUUGUCCUGCCGCUGACACCGAGACACGUCCGGGUGAAGGCAGCUAGCGUGUGAGCUGUGCGGCGGAUCGGCCUCCCGCUGUCUCCCCUUGGCUUUUUUUUCUUUUUUGCAUACUUGGCUUGGAAUAAACGCAGCUGCCUGCGAGGAAGGGGGGGGGACCCCAACCGAUAAUGGCUGCGUACGGCUUCAGAAGAUUUCUCUGCGAAGUUGUUCCCGCUGAGCCUCAAAUCUCGACUUGAAUAAGGUUUUAGGGUGCGCAAGGAAUCGAGGAUGGGCUCCCCAAAAGAAUAACAGCUACGCCUAGGAUUUACCAAACAAUAAGAAAAAAAGGGGGAAAAAGAGGACGAUGCCCUCACUUAUUUUCCAGAGGUAUAGCCGUACCUCUUACAAUUUCUAUCCAGAAUUGAAAGGGAUGGCAGGUAAUGAAACUUGGGAAUCCUGAAAUUGCCAGGCAGUUGUUAAUGACAGGUGCUAAUCCUGAUCUGAAAGACAGUACAGGGUUCGCUGUAAUUCAUGAUGUAGCCAGAGCGGGUUUCCUGGACACGCU
Mauremys reevesii (Reeves's turtle) is the source of this 1935-nucleotide RNA transcript. It is a transcript of the gene named cyclin dependent kinase inhibitor 2C, with no coding region annotated. The record is from RefSeq and is a predicted model, not a curated record. The transcript has 3 exons. NCBI's taxonomy places the organism in Eukaryota, Metazoa, Chordata, Testudines, Geoemydidae.